CGCCUGGGAACAGAAAACAGACUCAGGGCACAGGAGAAUUUCCCAGCAAAGUGUCACUGUGAGCUGCUCUUUCUGCAGCCCCUUGGCCCCGCUCUGAGAAUUACUGCCUGGGAUUGUGGAAGCCGACAGCUCUGCUCAAGCCACUGCCCUGCCAUGCUGGCACCAGGGCUCUCUGCUGAGGAGGGCAGAGCCCCAGCUGAGGCUCUCCUGAACCUGCCCCAGCCUGGCGUGCCCCGGGAGCAGGGGCAGCAGUUCCUGCUGUUUCUGGCAGGCCUCUGGGAGGGACCUUUGUGGGCACCUGCCUCCCCUUGAGAACACUCCUCAAGGACCUGUGGAAGAAACAAGUCACCUUUGACAGCUGGACAAGGCCCAGAGACUUCCUUAUGCAGCAUGAAACCUUCUGGGUCUCCCCGUAUCAUCUCCCUCUGGUGCUGCUGUAUGCACAAAGGCCACAGAUAGAUGCCAUCAGCAAAUUUGGACAGCUUGCCUGGAUUGCAGUUUUUCCUCUACUGACAGGCAUCUCUGGGACCUUCAGCCAGAGGAAGGAACUGUGAUCUGCUUGAAGGACUUGCCUCAGUCUUUGGGAAAAGAGCACGUGGUUCAUCUGAGACUUGAAGCACUGUCAAAACAAUGAAAAAAUGGACUGUUGUGUUUAUCCUUAUUAAUGUAACACUAAAGGAAGUCCCAUAC
Molecule: long non-coding RNA, 690 nt
Organism: Dromaius novaehollandiae (emu)
Lineage: Eukaryota; Metazoa; Chordata; Aves; Casuariiformes; Dromaiidae
Exons: 3
Source: RefSeq, a predicted model, not a curated record